CCCUUAGAUGUUCUGGGCCGCACGCGCGCUACACUGAUGCAUUCAACGAGCCUAUCCUUGACCGACAGGUCCGGGUAAUCUUUGAAUCUGCAUCGUGACGGGGAUAGAUUAUUGCAAUUAUUAAUCUUCAACGAGGAAUGCCUAGUAGGCGCAAGUCAUCAGCUUGCGUCGAUUACGUCCCUGCCCUUUGUACACACCGCCCGUCGCUCCUACCGAUUGGGUGUGCUGGCGAAAUGUUCGGAUCGGCCGUUUGUCGCGGUUUCCGCGUCAUGUGGCUGAGAAGUUCAUUAAACCCUCCCACCGAGAGGAAGGAGAAGUCGUAACA
RNAcentral lists this ribosomal RNA (325 nucleotides) under uncultured eukaryote. RNAcentral's name for it is "partial 18S ribosomal RNA". It matches the Rfam family "Eukaryotic small subunit ribosomal RNA", at positions 1470 to 1796 of the family's 1831-position model. The record is from RNAcentral.